RNAcentral lists this ribosomal RNA (427 nucleotides) under uncultured Acidobacterium sp. RNAcentral describes it as "bacterial SSU rRNA". It matches the Rfam family "Bacterial small subunit ribosomal RNA", at positions 958 to 1385 of the family's 1533-position model. The record is from RNAcentral. Lineage: Bacteria; Pseudomonadati; Acidobacteriota; Terriglobia; Terriglobales; Acidobacteriaceae.
AACGCGAAGAACCUUACCUGGGCUCGAAGCACAGUGGACCGGGGUGGAAACAUCCCUUUUCGCAAGAACUGCUGUGGAGGUGCUGCAUGGCUGUCGUCAGCUCGUGUCGUGAGAUGUUGGGUUAAGUCCCGCAACGAGCGCAACCCUUAUCGUUAGUUGCCAUCAGGUCAAGCUGGGCACUCUAGCGAAACCGCCCCGGAUAACGGGGAGGAAGGUGGGGAUGACGUCAAGUCCUCAUGGCCUUUAUGUCCAGGGCUACACACGUGCUACAAUGGUCGGUACAAACCGUCGCAAACCUGCGAAGGGGAGCUAAUCGGAAAAAGCCGGCCUCAGUUCGGAUUGGAGUCUGCAACUCGACUCCAUGAAGCUGGAAUCGCUAGUAAUCGCGGAUCAGCACGCCGCGGUGAAUACGUUCCCGGGCCUUGUA